RNAcentral lists this ribosomal RNA (498 nucleotides) under uncultured bacterium. RNAcentral's name for it is "partial 16S ribosomal RNA". It matches the Rfam family "Bacterial small subunit ribosomal RNA", at positions 28 to 507 of the family's 1533-position model. The record is from RNAcentral.
GACGAACGCUGGCGGCGUGCCUAAUACAUGCAAGUCGAGCGGACGAAUCGAAAGCUUGCUUUUGAUUCGUUAGCGGCGGACGGGUGAGUAACACGUGGGCAACCUGCACUGUAGAAUGGGGUAACACCGAGAAAUCGGUUCUCAUACCGGAUAACACGAAAAGUCGCAUGACGUUUCGUUGCAAGACGGCGCAAACUGUCCCUACAGGAAUGGCCCGCGUCGCAUUAGCUAGUUGGUGGGGGAACGGCUCACCAAGGCGACGAUGCGUAGCCGACCUGAGAGGGUGAUCAGCCACACUGGGACUGAGACACGGCCCAGACUCCUACGGGAGGCAGCAGUAGGGAAUCUUCCGCAAUGGACGAAAGUCUGACGGAGCAACGCCGCGUGAGCGAAGAAGGCCUUCGGGUCGUAAAGCUCUGUUGUUAGGGAAGAACAAGUAACGGAUUAACUGGCGUUACCGUGACGGUACCUAACGAGAAAGCCACGGCUAACUACGUG